UUCUCUUCUUCUUAAAACACACCCACCGCUGUGAACCUUCAUCGACACCUUCGCGACAUUUCAUCGAAAUACCUUUCACCAAAAUGACAAUCUCCUCCUUUCAUUUCCGAAAAUAACCUUCAACCGCCCUCACUCCACCCUUUAACAUUGUGCACAUCCUUCAUUCCUCACCACCAAGAACCUCUAUUUCCGGUGAGCUAAAUGAAUCUAUCAUCUCAUCGGCGAUUCGAAACCUCACCGCCACAUUGCGAAAAACACCAUCGCAAAACAAUAAUAGCAUUUCAGAAGAUCAAUUUUUGAAACUCACUUUGAUCUACCUUCGAUAACCCAUUUCCUCUCUUCAAAUCACCGACAGAAAUCCGUUGUGCAACACCGUCCACCACCACGAAUCUCUCUUCGCCAACAACCACGAUUCCCACAAAUCUCCGUCGCAAAUCACUCACCGUCAAUACUGUUUUUACCGCCGCGACUACGAC
This 476-nucleotide long non-coding RNA is filed under the name Lathyrus oleraceus (garden pea). RNAcentral describes it as "Pisum sativum (pea) long non-coding RNA (PSAT_LNC009409)". Lineage: Eukaryota; Viridiplantae; Streptophyta; Magnoliopsida; Fabales; Fabaceae. The record is from RNAcentral.